UGCAAGUCGAGCGGACAGAAGGGAGCUUGCUCCCGGAUGUUAGCGGCGGACGGGUGAGUAACACGUGGGUAACCUGCCUGUAAGACUGGGAUAACUCCGGGAAACCGGAGCUAAUACCGGAUAGUUCCUUGAACCGCAUGGUUCAAGGAUGAAAGACGGUUUCGGCUGUCACUUACAGAUGGACCCGCGGCGCAUUAGCUAGUUGGUGAGGUAACGGCUCACCAAGGCGACGAUGCGUAGCCGACCUGAGAGGGUGAUCGGCCACACUGGGACUGAGACACGGCCCAGACUCCUACGGGAGGCAGCAGUAGGGAAUCUUCCGCAAUGGACGAAAGUCUGACGGAGCAACGCCGCGUGAGUGAUGAAGGUUUUCGGAUCGUAAAGCUCUGUUGUUAGGGAAGAACAAGUGCAAGAGUAACUGCUUGCACCUUGACGGUACCUAACCAGAAAGCCACGGCUAACUACGUGCCAGCAGCCGCGGUAAUACGUAGGUGGCAAGCGUUGUCCGGAAUUAUUGGGCGUAAAGGGCUCGCAGGCGGUUUCUUAAGUCUGAUGUGAAAGCCCCCGGCUCAACCGGGGAGGGUCAUUGGAAACUGGGAAACUUGAGUGCAGAAGAGGAGAGUGGAAUUCCACGUGUAGCGGUGAAAUGCGUAGAGAUGUGGAGGAACACCAGUGGCGAAGGCGACUCUCUGGUCUGUAACUGACGCUGAGGAGCGAAAGCGUGGGGAGCGAACAGGAUUAGAUACCCUCGUAGUCCACGCCGUAAACGAUGAGUGCUCACUGUGAAGGGGUUUUCGCCCCUUAGUGCUGCAGCUAACGCAUUAGGCACUCCGCGUCGGGAGUACGGUCGCAAGACUGUAACUCAAAGGAACUGACAGGGGCCCGCACAAGCGGUGGAGCACGUGGUUUAAUUCGAAACAACGCGCAAGACACUUACCACGUCUUGAGUUCCUCUGACAAACCUAUAGAUAGGGCUUUCC
Molecule: ribosomal RNA, 980 nt
Filed under: Priestia megaterium
Lineage: Bacteria; Bacillati; Bacillota; Bacilli; Caryophanales; Bacillaceae
Description: bacterial SSU rRNA
Rfam family: Bacterial small subunit ribosomal RNA
Source: RNAcentral